This 434-nucleotide ribosomal RNA is filed under the name uncultured bacterium. RNAcentral's name for it is "partial 16S ribosomal RNA". It matches the Rfam family "Bacterial small subunit ribosomal RNA", at positions 29 to 507 of the family's 1533-position model. The record is from RNAcentral.
ACGAACGCUGGCGGCAUGCCUAACACAUGCAAGUCGAACGAUUGCCUUCGGGUGAUAGUGGCGCACGGGUGCGUAACGCGUGGGAAUCUGCCCUUAGGUUCGGAAUAACAGCUGGAAACGUCUGCUAAUACCGGAUGAUAUCGCGAGAUCAAAGAUUUAUCGCCUGAGGAUGAGCCCGCGUUGGAUUAGGUAGUUGGUGGGGUAAAGGCCUACCAAGCCGACGAUCCAUAGCUGGUCUGAGAGGAUGAUCAGCCACACUGGGACUGAGACACGGCCCAGACUCCUACGGGAGGCAGCAGUGGGGAAUAUUGGACAAUGGGCGCAAGCCUGAUCCAGCAAUGCCGCGUGAGUGAUGAAGGCCCUAGGGUUGUAAAGCUCUUUUACCCGGGAAGAUAAUGACUGUACCGGGAGAAUAAGCCCCGGCUAACUCCGUG